UCCUCACAAUUAUGGCGUCUGGUGGAAUGGCACAUCCUACUGUGGAAAAAGUUAAUGAUGAUGCAAUGUUUGUUGACAAACUGCCCGAGGAAAUCAAUGAAAUGAAAAUCAAAUAUGACAAGGUGGAAAAGGAAAUGGAGGCAACUGUAGUGGAUGGAAAUGGCACUGAAACUGGUCAUAUUAUUGUUACCACUAUCAGAGGAAGAAACGGUCAACCCAAGCAGACAAUAAGCUACAAAUGAGGCGAUUCUUGUUCAUCCCAACGUUGUUUCGCUCAAACACUGCUUCUUUUCAACUACAGACAAAGGCGAACUUUAUCAAAUUUGGUUCUAGAAUACGUGCCCGGAACAGCUUAUCGUGUAGCAAGACACUAUAGUAAGGCAAAUCAAAGGAUGCCCAUGAUUUAUGUUAAGCUCACACCUAUCAAGUUUACUCUUUUCCGAGACCGUGUUGAGCACUUGCGUAUAUUCAUGCAAUCGGCGUCUGCCACCGAGACAUUAAGCCUCAAAAUCUUCUGGUGGUGGUUCUGCGACUCGGAAAGGAGAACGGGUGCUUGGAGGUCUUAUAGGACAAGCGACAGUGGGAAAGAAGGAGCCGCCACCAUGGCUUUGGCCACGGCGAAAGCUAAGGUUUCCAUAUGAGAUCUUCGGCGAUUCAAAUCAGUUUUCGGCAGCUAUGAUUCUCGUCUUUUAUUUUCUGUAGUUGUAACAUGCAUUCUAACAGAUGCUAUAAAAGCCGCCACUGGACGACAUUGACUGGCUAUCUCUUUUGGCAUUGCUUUUGGGUGGAACUAAUGCAUAUAAAACUUUAUAUCAUUUUCUUAAGGUAAAAAAAAAUGAUACUUAACAACUACGAUGUACAUCUUUUAGCAGCAGCAGGCUCCCAACAUUUGUGGGUAAAAAUGUACCUUUUCAGUGGUGCAACAUUUGUAAAUUUUAAAGGAUUUUACAAGUUAGAGAUCAAAGUCUUCGAUCAUAUUUAAAUUCUUUAGAAGUCACUUUUUAAAUUGUGCCAAUUUGAGUUUUUAUGUUAGUCUUAUAGGUUC
Molecule: long non-coding RNA, 1045 nt
Organism: Helianthus annuus (common sunflower)
Lineage: Eukaryota; Viridiplantae; Streptophyta; Magnoliopsida; Asterales; Asteraceae
Exons: 6
Source: RefSeq, a predicted model, not a curated record